This 68-nucleotide transfer RNA is filed under the name Pseudomiza obliquaria. RNAcentral describes it as "tRNA-Thr". It matches the Rfam family "tRNA". Rfam says of the family: Transfer RNA (tRNA) molecules are approximately 80 nucleotides in length. Their secondary structure includes four short double-helical elements and three loops (D, anti-codon, and T loops). The record is from RNAcentral. Lineage: Eukaryota; Metazoa; Arthropoda; Insecta; Lepidoptera; Geometridae.
AGUUUUUAUAGUUUAAAAUAAAACAUUGGUCUUGUAAAUCAAAAUUAAGAAAUUUCUUUAAAAACUUC